GACGAACGCUGGCGGCGUGCUUAACACAUGCAAGUCGAACGGGUCUGCCCUGUUUUUUGCGGGGUGGGUCAGUGGCGAACGGGUGAGUAACACGUGAGUAACCUGCCCCUCACUUCUGGAUAACCGCUUGAAAGGGUGGCUAAUACGGGGUGUUCUGGCUGUGCCGCAUGGUGUGGCUGGGAAAGAUUCACUUUUGUGGUGUUUUGGUGGGGGAUGGGCUCGCGGCCUAUCAGCUUGUUGGUGGGGUGAUGGCUUGCCAAGGCUUUGACGGGUAGCCGGCCUGAGAGGGUGGGCGGUCACACUGGGACUGAGAUACGGCCCAGACUCCUGCGGGAGGCAGCAGUGGGGGGUAUUGCACAAUGGGCGGAAGCCUGAUGCAGCGACGUCGCGUGAGGGAUGGAGGCCUUCGGGUUGUGAACCUCUUUCGCCGGUGAAGAAGGUCCUGCUCUUUGUGGUGGGGUUGACGGUACCCGGGUUAUGAAGCGCCGGCUAACUACGUG
RNAcentral lists this ribosomal RNA (500 nucleotides) under uncultured bacterium. RNAcentral's name for it is "partial 16S ribosomal RNA". It matches the Rfam family "Bacterial small subunit ribosomal RNA", at positions 28 to 507 of the family's 1533-position model. The record is from RNAcentral.